CCCCAAACAAUAGGCCUCGGGUGGAGGCCUCCAGAUCCACCUCAAACAAGAGGCCUCGGGUGGAGGCGUCCCACUCCACCCCAAACCAGAGGCCUCGGGUGAAGGUCUCCUGCUCCACCCCAAACAAGAGGCCUCGGGUGGAGCUGAGGCCCACCGUGUGAGUCUGCGGCGCCUGACAGCCACGGAAAUACGGCGGGUUAUCUGCACUCCACCCAGAGGGAGCCCAACAGACAGACGAGCCAGGGUGAAGGAAAAAGAGGAGGGACACCCCAGCAAGCAAGAGGCUGAAGAUGGGGGCCUCCACUCCACCUCCCUCCACUCCACCUCCCUCCACUUCGCCUCCUUUUCCUCCAUCCACACCACUCCACCUCCCUCCACUCCACCACACUCCUGUGACUCCAUCUCACUUCGCUUUCUCUCUCACUCUCUCUUUUUCUCUUUCCUUGUCUCGCUCUACCAUCUCUCUCUCUUUCUCCCCCUCCCUCUACGUCUGUUCCUCUCUCUCUCUCUCCCUCUAUCUCUCUCCUCUCUCCUUCUGUCUCGCUCUCCCUCUAUCUCUCUCUUCCUCUACCUCUUUGAAUAAUCUGCAGGCACACAGACUCCACAGUGAGGUGAGCUGAGCUGACAAAGAGAGUGAAGCAAGAGAGACGGAGAGGAAGAGAGAGAGAGAGAGAGAUGAAGAAAGAGAGAGAGAGAGAGGAAUCUGAACAGAAGAACAAAGCUAAGAUCAGCCUGUCAGUUGCAGAUGAACAAAGACCCUGGAAUGGAUCGAGUGCAUUGCUCACAUAUGGAAGAGAUUCACUGCCUGCUUUCACAUCCAUAUGUACAAUAACCUUCUGCUUUGAAGUUUCGGAUACCAGACCUGAACAAAAAACACACACACACACACACACAUUUUAACAUGCACACACACACACACACACA
Clupea harengus (Atlantic herring) is the source of this 924-nucleotide long non-coding RNA. Lineage: Eukaryota; Metazoa; Chordata; Actinopteri; Clupeiformes; Clupeidae. The record is from Ensembl.